GACGAACGCUGGCGGCGUGCCUAACACAUGCAAGUUGAGCGACGAACCAGGGCUUGCCCUGGGGCAGAGCAGCGAACGGGUGAGUAACACGUGGGUAACCUACCCCGAUAACCGGGACAACCCGAGGAAACUCGGGCUAAUACCGGAUGUGCUCACUGGACUUCGGGUCAGGGCGUGAAGGAAGCUUCGGCCUCCGUAUGGGGAGGGGCCCGCGGCCCAUUAGGUGGGUGGUGGGGUAACGGCUUACCUAGGCCGCAAUGGGUAGCCGGGCUGAGAGGACGUAGCGGCACACUGGGACUGAGACGCGACCCAGACUCCUACGGGAGGCAGCAGUGGGGAAGGGUGCGCACUGCGGGAAAGCGUGACGAAGAAGCGGAGCGUGGGUGAAGAAGGCCUUUGGGUGGUAAACCGGCUUUAGGGGUGUAGAAGGUUCGGCGGUGAAUAGCCGUCCGGACUGACGGUAGCUCCAAAAGAAGCCCCGGCUAACUACGUG
Molecule: ribosomal RNA, 493 nt
Filed under: uncultured bacterium
Lineage: Bacteria
Description: partial 16S ribosomal RNA
Rfam family: Bacterial small subunit ribosomal RNA
Source: RNAcentral